UUCCUACGGGAGGCAGCAGUGAGGAAUAUUGGUCAAUGGGCGGGAGCCUGAACCAGCCAAGUCGCGUGAAGGAAGAAGGUACUUAGUAUUGUAAACUUCUUUUGUCGGGGAACAAAGGCGGAGACGCGUCUCCGGAUGAGUGUACCCGAAGAAAAAGCAUCGGCUAACUCCGUGCCAGCAGCCGCGGUAAUACGGAGGAUGCGAGCGUUAUCCGGAUUUAUUGGGUUUAAAGGGUGCGUAGGCGGACUGGAAAGUCAGCGGUAAAAUCGAGAGGCUCAACCUCUUUCCGCCGUUGAAACUGUCGG
RNAcentral lists this ribosomal RNA (305 nucleotides) under uncultured bacterium. RNAcentral describes it as "bacterial SSU rRNA". It matches the Rfam family "Bacterial small subunit ribosomal RNA", at positions 336 to 639 of the family's 1533-position model. The record is from RNAcentral.